This 230-nucleotide long non-coding RNA is filed under the name Oryza brachyantha (malo sina). RNAcentral's name for it is "long non-coding RNA (OBRA_LNC000568)". The record is from RNAcentral. Lineage: Eukaryota; Viridiplantae; Streptophyta; Magnoliopsida; Poales; Poaceae.
GCAGGAGGAAGCUGCUGGAGCUGCUAGUAGAAAGUAGAAAGCGAACAACAAAUGUAGGAGUAGCAUCGAUCAACAAGAUGAUCAGUCCGGAUAUGGAGCUGCCGCGUAGAAUUGAUAAAAAAAAACAUGCAUGCAUGCACAAGCAAUUAAUCGAAACCUACAUAAAAUAUGCUCAAUCCGGCGUACCAAAUGGCAAAUGGGUGCGUGCGCACGUACGUACUAGUUGCCCG